Molecule: long non-coding RNA, 352 nt
Filed under: Ananas comosus (pineapple)
Lineage: Eukaryota; Viridiplantae; Streptophyta; Magnoliopsida; Poales; Bromeliaceae
Description: long non-coding RNA (ACOM_LNC032715)
Source: RNAcentral
AACACAGGAUCUUUUUAACAGAUCUCAACUGUUAAAUAUAAAAUUAUUUAAAUACCGUUCCUUAACAGCUUAAGCUUUUUAGAAUACGACAGUUGUUUCACAUGGUAUCAGAAAAAAAAGGUCCUGAAUUCGAGUUACACCAGGCUCCUAGCAUAUUAAUUUCCUCCCAUUUAAUUCAAGCCCACGUCAUGGGCCGACUAAAAAGUCUCGAACCCAGACGCGAGGAGUGUUAAAUAUAAAAAUGUUUAAACACCGUUCCCUCACAGCUUACGCUUUUAGAGUCAAAUUCUGAAUCAAAAUCUGCAGGAAAUAAUACUGAAUCUUAUAGAAAUCUAAUCAAAGGGAUUGAUCG